Molecule: unclassified non-coding RNA, 232 nt
Filed under: uncultured fungus
Lineage: Eukaryota; Fungi
Description: sequence contains ITS1
Source: RNAcentral
GUAUUUCAUUGCGUUAAACGCGACAUACAUUCCAUUAGACUUUAUUUCGGUGUGUGUGUAAAGACAUAGAACCACAGCAAGAGGACAGAGUCCCCCAAGCCACAGAACUACAGAGGGUGCACAGGUGUGAGUGGAUGUGCAAACAGAGUGUGCACAUGCCCCCGUUUGAGGACCAGCAACAACUCGUGUUGACAAUUCAGUAAUGAUCCUUCCGCAGGUUCACCUACGGAAA